CCUACGGGUGGCAGCAGUGGGGAAUAUUGGGCAAUGGACGCAAGUCUGACCCAGCAACGCCGCGUGAAGGAAGAAGGCUUUCGGGUUGUAAACCUCUUUUAAGGGGGAAGAGCAGAAGACGGUAUCACUUGAAUAAGCCACGGCUAACUACGUGCCAGCAGCCGCGGUAAUACGUAGGUGGCAAGCGUUGUCCGGAUUUACUGGGUGUAAUGGGCGUGCAGCCGGAGAGACAAGUCAGAUGUGAAAUCCACGGGCUCAACCCGUGAACUGCCUUUGACACUGUUUCGCUCGAGUGUCGGAGAGGUAAGCGGAAUUCCUGGUGUAGCGGUGAAAUGCGUAGAUAUUAGGAAGAACACCAGUGGCGAAGGCGGAUUACUGGACGAUAACUGACGGUGAGGCGCGAAAGCGUGGGGAGCAAACAGGAUUAGAUACCCUUGUAGUC
This 442-nucleotide ribosomal RNA is filed under the name uncultured bacterium. RNAcentral describes it as "partial 16S ribosomal RNA". It matches the Rfam family "Bacterial small subunit ribosomal RNA", at positions 338 to 795 of the family's 1533-position model. The record is from RNAcentral.